RNAcentral lists this ribosomal RNA (254 nucleotides) under uncultured bacterium. RNAcentral's name for it is "partial 16S ribosomal RNA". It matches the Rfam family "Bacterial small subunit ribosomal RNA", at positions 524 to 776 of the family's 1533-position model. The record is from RNAcentral.
UACGGGGGGAGCAAGCGUUGUUCGGAUUUACUGGGCGUAAAGGGCGCGUAGGCGGUCAGCACAAGUCAGUUGUGAAAUCUCCGGGCUUAACUCGGAAAGGUCAACUGAUACUGUGCGACUAGAGUGCAGAAGGGGCAACUGGAAUUCUUGGUGUAGCGGUGAAAUGCGUAGAUAUCAAGAGGAACACCUGCGGCGAAGGCGGGUUGCUGGGCUGACACUGACGCUGAGGCGCGAAAGCUAGGGGAGCGAACGGG